UAUAAUAAAUAAAAAAAAUUUUCAAUAAAUGUUUAUUAAAUUAGUUCAGCCCUGCUUGUAUGUAUAUCUCUUUUUAAAUCGAAGUUCCUUUCGCCGCCCCGAGUUCUCAACGUACUCAUAUUUCUCACCACUUUUGAACUCAUUUCAUAAUAAUAAUAGUAAGCUACUCCACCAAACCAUCACCGCCGCCGCCGUGCUAUCCUCUGUCUAUUGCUACCGAAACAGAUGGACCAAAAGCUGGCAGUAGAGAUAGACCAAAUGCCUCCACGUGGAAUUCACCACAGGCGGGCCCACUCCGACACGACCUUCCGUUUCGACGAUCUUCUCCUCUUCGACCCUUCCGACCUCGAUCUUUCCUCCCUCGACCUCCCGCCUUCCUCCUCCAAUCCAACUCCGCCACCUGUCAUCCCCGUUCCCGCUGAUUCCUCGGACGACUCCUCUUCCAACGGCCACCCCUCUCGCUCCUCGCACACCAACCCUAGGCAUAUCUCUUCCCACCUCCGUAGUCUUUCUGUUGACUCUGACUUCUUCGACGGACUCGGGUUGACUGGACCCGCUAUUUCCGGAGGAGCUGGAGAUGAGAAAUUUGGCGGGAAAGGAGGGGUGGGAGAGAAGAGGGUUCACCAUAGGCAUAGUAACUCGAUGGAUGCGUUGACUACGGCUUCGUUUGAGGCUGAGUGUUUGAUGACCGUUGAUGGCGUUAAGAAGGCUAUGGCUCCUGAUAGACUCGCUGAGCUUGCCCUUAUUGACCCCAAGAGAGCUAAAAGGAUUCUGGCUAACAGGCAAUCCGCGGCGCGUUCAAAGGAGAGGAAGAUUCGAUACACGAGUGAACUGGAGAGGAAGGUUCAGACUCUUCAGACAGAAGCUACCAAUCUCUCCGCGCAGGUCACAAUGUUACAGAGAGACACUACUGGGUUGACUACUGAGAAUAAGGAACUCAAACUACGGAUACAGGCUAUGGAGCAACAAGCGCAGCUUAGAGACGCUUUAAAUGAAGCAUUGAGAGAAGAAGUACAACGGCUCAAGAUAGAAGCUGGUCAAAUAUCAGCUAUGAAUGGAAACCCUUUCAAUAGAGGACUACCUCCUCAAUUUUUACUGCACCAAUCUGCUUCACAUCACUUUUGUGGCCACCAGACCCCACAGCAGCAGCAGCAGCUACAGAUGCCUCAGUCAUCCACCAACGAUGGACAGCCGCAACCUUGCUUCAUGGAUUUUGACCAGAUGGCUUAGUUUCAUGUUGGAAGCUAAUCCUUUGAAAACAUAAGAAAAUUCAUUCAAGGCCUACAACAGCAGGAAAGGUUGGUCAGUUAACCUGGAUGUUGUUUCCAUCCACCAUGACCCUGAAACUUUCCCCUAUCCUCAAAAGUUGGAUCCUUCAGAUUUUAUGUAAGCAAUCAACGGCAGAAGUUUCUUUUCUUCUCAGUUGCAAACUUACUAUUCAAUUACAGGCAACUAUAAAAGCCUUUCAGCUUUCUGGGAUUCGCUAAUGUGCUCUGGAAUGAACCUGGCUAAACCGGAAAUCGGCAUCUUCAUCCAUCACAUGGUCUUCACAUACAAGAGGAGACUUCUGGAGAGAGAUGAUUCUGUGCAGCCAAAAAACAAGUAUCCUAUCAUGGUUGAGCCACUGUGAAACUUUUCAUACUGGGAUCAAGAAUGAAGCAAACAGAUGAAAGGCAGGAAAAAAUGCUAAAAGCAUGAUUGAAUAAAUUCAAGAACAGAAUUUUUUAAGUAAUUGCACAUUGUUUCGAGUGUAUGCAUCUUUGUGAUAUAAACAAGUUCAUUAGUACAUAUAAAGAUGAGCCUCAGCAAAAGAAACGGGAAUCUCGUGAUAAUGCUUUUAACCUGGACACACUUGAAAUUCAGCCUAACAAUGGCAGAUUACAAGGCUAGGACUGGACACACCUGAAAUUCAACCUAGGUCUAGGAGUGAAUAAUGGUAGACGACACGGCA
RNA transcript from Durio zibethinus, 1951 nucleotides. It is a transcript of the gene named transcription factor VIP1-like, with no coding region annotated. NCBI's taxonomy places the organism in Eukaryota, Viridiplantae, Streptophyta, Magnoliopsida, Malvales, Malvaceae. The record is from RefSeq and is a predicted model, not a curated record.